This 402-nucleotide ribosomal RNA is filed under the name uncultured bacterium. RNAcentral describes it as "bacterial SSU rRNA". It matches the Rfam family "Bacterial small subunit ribosomal RNA", at positions 28 to 419 of the family's 1533-position model. The record is from RNAcentral.
GAUGAACGCUAGCUACAGGCUUAACACAUGCAAGUCGAGGGGAAACGACAUCGAAAGCUUGCUUUUGAUGGGCGUCGACCGGCGCACGGGUGAGUAACGCGUAUCCAACCUGCCCACCACUUGGGGAUAACCUUGCGAAAGUAAGACUAAUACCCAAUGAUAUCCCACGAAGGCAUCGGAAUGGGAUUAAAGAUUUAUCGGUGAUGGAUGGGGAUGCGUCUGAUUAGCUUGUUGGCGGGGUAACGGCCCACCAAGGCAACGAUCAGUAGCCGGACUGAGAGGUUGAACGGCCACAUUGGGACUGAGAUACGGCCCAGACUCCUACGGGAGGCAGCAGUGAGGAAUAUUGGUCAAUGGGCGAGAGCCUGAACCAGCCAAGUAGCGUGCAGGAAGACGGCCCUA